UCCAACCUACCAUAAACAUAUACUAUAAUCCCUAUCAAUAUUAUUAUUCAAGUUCUUCAAUUAAAUUUAUUUAAUAGUAAUUAAAUUUUGCAUUAAUUUAUUGAAGCUUUCUAAUCAAAUUAAUAAUCACACACAAUUUAUUCUAAUUUAGUAAAAUCCUUUUAUAAUCAAUAUUCAUAAACUAUAUUGGGAAAAUCCAAAAAUAUAGCACUGUCAGACAAAAUUGGCCGAAAUCAACGGCUGUGUUUGCCGGAAAGACAAUCGGAGGCGACUGGCGUAACUGACAGCGGCAGGGAAGAACCACAUCGACUGGCCUUCAACCAGUCUCGCCAGAAAACAGUCAGAAACCACGCUGACAUUCAGCGUUUUUCUGCUGCGUCGCCGAACAAGGAGAGAGAAAAGGAGUUUUCGAGCUGCAUCGUCGUCAGAGGAGAACUGUAGUCGACCAAUCACACAAAACUCGCCGGAAAGACAAGGGAAAGAGAGAGGAGCGAGCUGUCGAUCGAGAUCGCAGCUCCUCUUGCUUGCGGUCCUAAAACAGAAAACAAAAUCAGAGGGAGAGGAACUGACGGCGCGACGACAAGGAGAAGCCGGCGGAGGGAUGGCGUCUGUUGGUUCGACGCCGGUCGAUUGAGAUGGUGGCUGGAAGUCGUAGAGAUAGAGAGAAGGAGGGUUUGGUGCCGCUGAAACGACAGAGAGGAAAGAAAGAAAGAAAAAGAAAAUGAAAAAUUCUCUGCCAAACUCUAGGUCUUUCUAGGUAAUCCGGUUCGAUCUGAAUCGAGUUUGGUCCAACUCAAAGGUUUAAUUUGUUUUUAGCUGAUUUAAAGGUUUUCGCCGAAUUUAAGGAUUUCAAACUGGUUUAUGGUUCGAUUUAACAAUAAUAAAAUAUUUUCUUUGCUAAAUUUAAUUGGUUAAAAUUCACAAUUAAAUUUUUAAAUGGAAAAUCUUUGAAAUUGAAUUUUCAAUUAAAAUUCAUAAGGUUAUUGUAUUAUUAUUAUAAUUAUUGCU
RNAcentral lists this long non-coding RNA (1008 nucleotides) under Jatropha curcas. RNAcentral's name for it is "long non-coding RNA (JCUR_LNC001800)". The record is from RNAcentral. Lineage: Eukaryota; Viridiplantae; Streptophyta; Magnoliopsida; Malpighiales; Euphorbiaceae.